Molecule: long non-coding RNA, 1071 nt
Organism: Capsicum annuum
Lineage: Eukaryota; Viridiplantae; Streptophyta; Magnoliopsida; Solanales; Solanaceae
Exons: 3
Source: RefSeq, a predicted model, not a curated record
UUUUAAAAAAAAAUCUUUAUUUACAUAAUAAAAUAAACGAGAAAAAUAGGAAAAAGAAUUAAGAUGUCGUAAAAGACAGAAGUGUACACCAUCUUUCUAGAUUUUAAUAUUCAUUAGGAGGGUAAUUAGUAAAUUAGACUAAAAAUUAUGUGCGGCAAAAUUUCCCUCUUCCCUCUCCUUUUCCUUCUCCAAAGGGCACGAUUUUUCUUUUCCUUUUCCUUCGCCUUUGAUUUUUCUAAUUCAAUUGAAGCUGAAAUAAUCUUUGUCCCCCCCCCCCCCCCCCCCGCCCCGAAGAAGAUUUUAAUUCGUUCUAUUUUUUGAUUGGACUUUUUAUCCAUCACCUCUUAAUUAUGGUGGAUUUUCGAAGAGCGUAUGCACAUAAGUUAACGAGUGCAUUUUCCACGGAAUCCCAGAUUAACGUCCACUUGAGGGUUACCAUGGUGACAAAUCAGCGAUGUUCUUUGCAGGAAAUGUGAUGAGGGAGCCAAAAACUUGGUGUAGGUCUUGAAGUUUGCACCAAAGCAUGCUGUCAGGAUGUAUUAUCUGUGAUACCAUAUAUUUUCUAUGAAAUAUGCAUAUAUCUUGAGUAGUUGUAAACAAGUUCAAAAUAGAGGAUCCAUGUAAUUAGUGAAUUCCACGAUUUAGCUACAAGUGUCUUAUUUGCAGAACAGGAAAUACAUUUGGUAUAAGUGAUGCAAUAAAAAAUGUUACUUCUUGCAAUACUGGAGCAAGAAGUAGCAUUCUUGAAUGCAUCACUUAUCCCAAAUAUUGCAAACUGCGACUAAUUAUUCUUUUAAUUUAUUCAUUCCUAUUGUAAGAUUCAAAUAGAAAGUAAGCAAUAAAAAUAUUGUGGCGGAAUUAAACUACCAUUAAUUAUAAUAUUUUUAAGCAUUAAUAUUAUAUUGUAGCGGUUGUAAACCCCCACAUAAUUUUUUUUCAAAAAUAACUAAUAUUUUAUUGUGGGAUUUAUAGAAUACCACAAUAUUUUUUUGUGAUAUUGUGAUAAUAUUGCAGGGGGUUAUAAACUCCCACAAUUUUUUUUUGAAACAUUAAUAUCAUAUUGUGAGUGUU